RNAcentral lists this ribosomal RNA (388 nucleotides) under uncultured bacterium. Its description in RNAcentral is "bacterial SSU rRNA". It matches the Rfam family "Bacterial small subunit ribosomal RNA", at positions 28 to 417 of the family's 1533-position model. The record is from RNAcentral.
GACGAACGCUGGCGGCGUGCUUAACACAUGCAAGUCGAGCGGUAAGGCCCUUUCGGGGGUACACGAGCGGCGAACGGGUGAGUAACACGUGGGUGACCUGCCCUCAGCUCUGGGAUAAGCCUGGGAAACCGGGUCUAAUACUGGAUAUGACUCCAUGACGCAUGUUGUGGGGUGGAAAGCCUUGUGCGGCUGGGGAUGGGCCCGCGGCCUAUCAGCUUGUUGGUGGGGUGAUGGCCUACCAAGGCGACGACGGGUAGCCGGCCUGAGAGGGCGACCGGCCACACUGGGACUGAGACACGGCCCAGACUCCUACGGGAGGCAGCAGUGGGGAAUCUUGCGCAAUGGGCGAAAGCCUGACGCAGCGACGCCGCGUGAGGGAUGACGGCCU